This 201-nucleotide long non-coding RNA is filed under the name Elaeis guineensis (African oil palm). RNAcentral's name for it is "long non-coding RNA (EGUI_LNC006836)". The record is from RNAcentral. Lineage: Eukaryota; Viridiplantae; Streptophyta; Magnoliopsida; Arecales; Arecaceae.
GGUGUAUGUGCAAAUCUGCAUUAUGCAUAUCGGUGUCAUCAAAUAUUGCAUGAUGCUCGAUUUUAUUAGAAGGCGGUGGCAAAGUUUGAGUGGUAAUUGAGUUGAUGGCAGCAAUAGAUAAGUCAAGCAAUGGGCUAGAAGGCUCAACUGCACGAAUGCCUUAAAUGAAAAGGGAUUGCAGAAGUUAUCAUUAGAAUUUUG